Molecule: ribosomal RNA, 498 nt
Filed under: uncultured bacterium
Lineage: Bacteria
Description: partial 16S ribosomal RNA
Rfam family: Bacterial small subunit ribosomal RNA
Source: RNAcentral
AUUGAACGCUGGCGGCAUGCUUUACACAUGCAAGUCGAACGGUAACAGGCCGCAAGGUGCUGACGAGUGGCGAACGGGUGAGUAAUGCAUCGGAACGUGCCCAGUCGUGGGGGAUAACGCAGCGAAAGCUGCGCUAAUACCGCAUACGAUCUCUGGAUGAAAGCGGGGGACCGAAAGGCCUCGCGCGAUUGGAGCGGCCGAUGUCAGAUUAGGUAGUUGGUGGGGUAAAGGCCCACCAAGCCAACGAUCUGUAGCUGGUCUGAGAGGACGACCAGCCACACUGGGACUGAGACACGGCCCAGACUCCUACGGGAGGCAGCAGUGGGGAAUUUUGGACAAUGGGCGCAAGCCUGAUCCAGCAAUGCCGCGUGCAGGAAGAAGGCCUUCGGGUUGUAAACUGCUUUUGUACGGAACGAAACGGUCCGGGUUAAUACCCUGGGCUAAUGACGGUACCGUAAGAAUAAGCACCGGCUAACUACGUGCCAGCAGCCGCCGUAA